This is a long non-coding RNA of Pseudophryne corroboree (corroboree frog), 1509 nucleotides long. RefSeq lists it as uncharacterized. The transcript has 3 exons. Lineage: Eukaryota; Metazoa; Chordata; Amphibia; Anura; Myobatrachidae. The record is from RefSeq and is a predicted model, not a curated record.
CCAGCAUCAUCACGUGCCACAUGAUAAACUUGUCUUUUAGGCUUUUUUGCGUUGCUAUGACGACUGCUGUUGCGCUGCUACAAGAUGUCCAGGGACAAGCGCCCCCGAUCCCCCCCUUCUCCCCACCCCUCAGAAGAAUUUUCCCUGGCCAGCAACGAGGAGUGGGAGCGACCCAGGAAGAGGAGAUGGCCGAACAGGCAUCCAGCGAUCAGCCACGGUCAUCAAGGGACCAAACGGAAAAGAGAAAGAAAAAGAAAAGGCCUAGAAAGGCAAGAAGCCAGCCAGAGGAUAGGUCGGAGGAGGAAGCCUCUUGUGAAGACACAGGAUGGAAGAAUCCGCGUGGACCCCAGUGGCAAACGCAGAAUUUCUAGAGGAGGGUUUCCAAAUGCAAUCCAUAAUCUCCCACUCUGCAGAGCAAGUUCAGGAGUCUGGGGGAGUGGUAGAAGAACCUAUUAACGACCCUGAACAUUGGUACUUUUUAUACAAUGGAUACUGUAUGGCAUACAGUAUUAAUUUUUAACACUAUAGGUGGUCUAUAGUAUAGGCUGUAUGUAUCAAACACAUUUAAACAAUAUAAAUAAGAUAAGUGUUCAGGAAAAGGUUAAACAUACCAUAAUAAAUAAAUACACAAACAUAAUAGAACUAGUAGUAGACAGAAGUGCACUUUGUAAGCACACAUUCUCCCACCUCAUGGAAAGACUGCGUAGGGAACAUACUGUGACCAUAGCAGCAUAAACGCACCGUCGGGGCUUCCGCAGCGCCGCUUGGUGCAUCACCUUGGCUUGGAAGGGGUUAAUGUUUUGUGGUGGGAGGAACGUGGAGAGGGUCCGAGGGGCUGAUUGGCUGGAUCAUGUAUAGGGGCUGGCCUGUCAUACAUAUAGGCUGCUGACAUGGUACUUCCUCCCUCUUUUCAGCUCUUCUCAUGACCCGCCCUCCCGCCCUGGGGACUUGGUUUUGUUUUUUAUUUAUUUGUUGUUCUACAGUCGGGUUCAUUGUGUCGGCUGUUGGUGGCCGGUUUCUGAACGGUUACUUAAUUUUAAUUAUGAGUUCAAGGUUAGUAAGUUUGGGUGUACUUUUAGGUAAAUUUUAUAGUUUUAUAAUUAGUUUACGGGCAUCGCUUUACCAAGUGGGUCCAUAUAACUGGUAUAAACAUAUGUGGAUGGCGGGGCCGGUGUCCCAAUUUUUACCAUGUAGGGGCGGAGCGUACCUCCGUCCCUGCAACUGUUGGUGGGGCAGGGGUAGUGGCAGAAGGCCGACCCCUGUCCUUGGAUUUUCGAUGUCUGGGAUGGAGGCAGGAGGCCGAUCCCGGAACAUCUGGGGCAGAAGGCUCCCUCACACAUAUGUUUUUUAUUGCUUGUUUUUCUGUAUUAUAACAUUGAUCACCCAUGUUACGUUUAUCAUGCUUAACCGUUCUUCUCCCCGCCACCUUAGUUAGAGAGGGAAGUCUGCAUUUUAGUUUUAGUAUUUAAUAGGCCUUCCUCUCAAUCAGAAAAUAAAAGCUGACCCCUU